GAUAUCAGAUUAGCUAGCUGGUGAGGUAAAGGCUCACCAAGGCGACGUUCUGUAGCGGGUCUGAGAGGAUGAUCCGCCACACUGGAACUGAGACACGGUCCAGACUCCUACGGGAGGCAGCAGUGGGGAAUUUUGGACAAUGGGGGCAACCCUGAUCCAGCCAUGCCGCGUGAGUGAGGAAGGCCUUCGGGUUGUAAAGCUCUUUCGGCCGGGAAAAAAUCGCAUAGGUUAAUACCCUGUGUGGAUGAUGGUACCGGAAUAAGAAGCACCGGCUAACUACGUGCCCGCAGCCGCGGUAAUACGUAGGGUGCGAGCGUUAAUCGGAAUUACUGGGCGUAAAGCGUGCGCAGGCGGUUUUGUAAGACAGGCGUGAAAUCCCCGGGCUCAACCUGGGAACUGCGCUUGUGACUGCAAGGCUAGAGUACGGCAGAGGGGGGUGGAAUUCCACGUGUAGCAGUGAAAUGCGUAGAGAUGUGGAGGAACACCAAUGGCGAAGGCAGCCCCCUGGGUCGAUACUGACGCUCAUGCACGAAAGCGUGGGUAGCAAACAGGAUUAGAUACCCUGGUAGUCCACGCCCUAAACGAUGUCAACUAGGUGUUGGGUGGGUAAAACCAUUUAGUACCGUAGCUAACGCGAGAAGUUGACCGCCUGGGGAGCACGGCCGCAAGGUUAAAACUCAAAGGAAUUGACGGGGACCCGCACAAGCGGUGGAUGAUGUGGAUUAAUUCGAUGCAACGCGAAAAACCUUACCUACCCUUGACAUGUCCAGGAGCUCGAAGAGAUUUGGGUGUGCUCGAAAGAGAACUGGAACACAGGUGCUGCAUGGCUGUCGUCAGCUCGUGUCGUGAGAUGUUGGGUUAAGUCCCGCAACGAGCGCAACCCUUGCCGUUAAUUGCCAUCAUUCAGUUGGGCACUUUAACGAGACUGCCGGUGACAAACCGGAGGAAGGUGGGGAUGACGUCAAGUCCUCAUGGCCCUUAUGGGUAGGGCUUCACACGUCAUACAAUGGUCGGUACAAAGGGUUGCCAACCCGCGAGGGGGAGCUAAUCCCAUAAAGCCGAUCGUAGUCCGGAUCGUAGGCUGCAACUCGCCUGCGUGAAGUCGGAAUCGCUAGUAAUCGUGGAUCAGCAUGUCACGGUGAAUACGUUCCCGGGUCUUGUACACACCGCCCGUCACACCAUGGGAGCGGGUUCCGCCAGAAGUAGGUAGCCUAACCGCAAGGGGGGCGCUUACCA
Molecule: ribosomal RNA, 1236 nt
Filed under: metagenome
Description: bacterial SSU rRNA
Rfam family: Bacterial small subunit ribosomal RNA
Source: RNAcentral